Molecule: non-coding RNA, 85 nt
Organism: Felis catus (domestic cat)
Lineage: Eukaryota; Metazoa; Chordata; Mammalia; Carnivora; Felidae
Source: Rfam
GCCUGGGUGGCUUAGUCGGUUAAGCGGCCGACUUCGGCUCAGGUCACGAUCUCGCGGUCCGUGAGUUCGAGCCCCGCAUCAGGCU